GAAAAUAUGAAAUAAAAUCAAAGGUAAAUACUUUAGAACGAUGGUAUAGUAAAUUUUUUGUUGCAGUUUGUGAUUAUGAUAACAAUUUUCUUGCAGUUUGUUUGGUGGUUGAUACUAGUUGACCUCUUAAGUUUAAGAGUGUUGAUGUUUUCUGAGGUAUUGCUAUAAGAUCCAUUGUUCAUGAAACAAAGUUUGCAUCUACAAUCACUCACAGCCACAAUCUUCCGAUUUGUUUGGAAAUAGUAGGAGAGAGGGAAAUUCAGAUUGUACAAAAGUGAAAAUUAGGUUUGAGAUUUCUUUUAAUUAGUUAAACACAUCUCAAUUUUUGUUUUCGAUAAUUGAUGCUUUUUUUAUUAUAAUUUCUUGCAAGUUACAUGAUAUUCAAACGAGAGAAAAUAUCAAAAUCUUGGAAAUUCACUCUAGGUAAGUGUCCUCUUGUCUCAUAUUCAAUUUGUAAAUAGUA
Molecule: long non-coding RNA, 463 nt
Filed under: Lathyrus oleraceus (garden pea)
Lineage: Eukaryota; Viridiplantae; Streptophyta; Magnoliopsida; Fabales; Fabaceae
Description: Pisum sativum (pea) long non-coding RNA (PSAT_LNC022823)
Source: RNAcentral